UAUCAAAAAGUUUUUUUUUUUUUUUUUUUUUUCUGGCACUUUGCCAUGUCUUUUAUAUAAACUUUGUUUUUAGUAUUUGUAUGGUCUGCUUUUAAUGUUUGGUCUUGUUAAGCUUUUACAUUUUUCUAUGUUUUUAAAUCAACUUUAUGAUGUGGGGUUAUUUAAAGCCUAACAUAAAUAGAAUAAAUUAUGACUCUGAAAAACAUUACAAAGCAAUUUUGGUUUAUGC
Molecule: non-coding RNA, 229 nt
Organism: Biomphalaria pfeifferi
Lineage: Eukaryota; Metazoa; Mollusca; Gastropoda; Planorbidae
Source: the annotation of a GenBank genome assembly